AAAAUCCAACAUUUUGUUGGAUAAUCCCACUAACUCUUAGUGGGAUAUGUGGCUAUAUGAGAUAUAGACACCUAGCCCACUAAGUUCCACUAAUUGUUAGUGGAAUAUUAGGUGUUGAGAUUUGGCAAUUGAAUUGCAUGCAUUUUUGCAUGCAAUUAGGCUAUAAAUAGAGGUGUUUUCAAAUGUUGAAGGACUUUUGCCUCUUUUAUCAUUUUCAUAAUCUCAACAAAAGAAAAAAGAAAGCUUCCAAUCUCAUUUUAUCUCCAUUAUUUUCUACACCAAAAUUGGGUCCCACAACCCGGUUCUUUGUCCAGAGGAUAGCAGUUGAGUACUAGUGGUGGUCUCGGGUAGAAUUGGUAAGAAGACAUCAAACCUUUUGAAAGCUUCAAAGGUAAUACUUCUUAAAACCCUAAUUUGAUUAGUUUAUGGUUACAUGUUAAUUGUGGCAAUUAGGGUAGAAAUUCGAUUCUUUUUCCGCUGUGCAUGACUUAGUUCUAUCACUUUCGACCUCUACGGUUGAUAACUUUGACAUAAUUCCUCCAAUAAGCUUCCUUGAUAAUCAUCCAAAGGAAGUAUUAGAAGUCACUACAUGUCAUGCUAUCAGCAUAGAAGAAGUUGGAUCACUGACGACGAAGAAGCCCGAUCGCUCCUACUAGGGAGGUAGAUCUUACGCAUAAUCUCGAUUGUCCUCUAGAAGAAGUUGGAUCGCUAACGGCGAAGAAGCCCGAUCAAUCCUACUAGGGAGGUGGAUUUGACGGCAAAGUUCGAUCAUCCCCAAGAAGAAGUUGGAUCGCUGAUGGCAAAGAAGCUCGAUCGCUCCUACUAGGGAGGUGAAUCUGAAGGCAAAAGUCUGAUCGUCCCUAGAAGAAGUUGGAUCAUUGACAACGAGAAAGCUCGAUCGUUCCUAGAAGAAGUUGGAUCACUAACGGCGAAGAAGAUUGAUUGCUCCUACCAGGCAGGUGGAUCUGACAGCAAAAGCCCAAUCGUCCCCUAAAAAAAGUUGGAUCGCUAAUGGCAAAAAAGUCUGAUCGCUCCUACUAAAGAGGUGGAUCUGAUGGAAAAAGCCUGAUCGUCCCCUAAAAGAAGUAGGAUUGUUGACGACAAAGAAGCCCGAUUGCUUCUAUUAGGGAGGUGGAUCUGACGGCAAAAGUUUGAUCGUCCACUAGAAGAAGUUGGAUCGUUGAUGGCGAAGAAACCCGAUCGCUCCUACUACAGAGGUGGAUGUGACGACAAAAGUCUUAUCGUCCCCUAAUAGAAGUUGGAUCACUGAGGGCAAAAUUAUCCAUGCAAACGAUUGUAAAAAAAAAAAAAGAAGAAGAAGAAAUAUGAAAAUGUUUUUACCUUUAGCUCCCGUAAAAAAACAAAAACAAAAAUACAAAAAAAAAAACAAAAACAAAAAUACAAAAAACAAAAACAAAAACAAAAAUACAAAAAAAUACAAAAACACAAAAAAUAAAAAAAUAAAAAAACAAAAAAAGAGGAAGAGGGAAAGGGAGAAGAAAAGUUUUUCAUACCUUUCUGUUGUUGGAUAAGGAAUAAAUAAUCAUGAUGUGAGUCUAUUUAUAAAACCAACAAAUCCAAUUCCUAAAAAGAUUAGGAAUGAUAAUUUAAUCAUUUUGUUUAAAACAAACCCAAUUUCUAGAACGAAUAGAAAUGAUUUUUUUUAUAUAUAUAAAUAAAGAAAAGAUAAUCCAAUUAUCUUAUCUUAUUUUAAAUUAUUUUAUUUUUGGGAUAAAUCUCAAAUUUAAUUUUUUAAGAUAUUUAAAAUAUUUAAAUAUUUCAACAUUUUUAAAAAUAUAUAUAUAUUUCCAAUUUUAAAAUUAAAUUUUGAGUUCAAAAUUUAAGUCAAAUUAAGUUGCAUGUAUGACCUCCUUUUUAUCUUAAAUUUAAAUCAGAGCCAUAAAUCCAAUUUUAUCUCAAGAUUGAUGACCUCUUUUUUCUCUCCAAUUAAAAUUGGUCAUUCCAAAUUCUUGUGCAUCCUCGAGACAAAUUAAGAAAUGGUAGAAACAUUAUCAUUAUUUCAAAUUAAAAUUUUGGUUAUGUUCCAAAAUUUAUAUUUUUUAAAAAAUAAAUUAAAAUUUUUAUCCUCAAAUCAAUUGACUAAGGUUCAGUCAUAUUCCAAUCCUUAAUUCAAAUUUAAAUCAAACUUAUAUACUAAAUUCAUAGUUUGAUUAAUUUGAUAUGUUCAAUUGAAAGAAAAAAUGCUCAUAUUUGGACUUCAAAUUUUUUUUUCGAGAUUCAUUCACCCAUCUACGUGCAUAAAUCUAAAAAAUGAAAUAUUUAUUUAAUAUGCAUAUGGUAUCUUUGUACGGACAAAACAAAACAACAAAUAUUGUAUUUAAAGGUUUUUCGAAAAGACAGUUGGAUAAAUGUCUUGGCAAAUUGGAAUUUGGUAAGGAUGAUAUUUACAAACCAGGUUGUUGAGGGAGAAUGUUGAAUUUCCUUCUCUUGUAAUAUUAUUAUUUUUUAUUUAUGUCAAUAUUUUUUUUCUUAUUUGUUGUUUGCCUUUCUCUAUAUAUAAGAAGACCUUAUACUUGGUCCAAUAAAUAGAGAAAUAAUACUCAACUUUUUGGUUUCCAUUUUUUUACAGAUAAAUAUUAUAAAAAUUUGAAAGUCUCAACAAAAAAAAAAAGAGAAAAAAUUGACAAAAAUCUAGAUGAAGAGAUCUUUGUUUGGGAGGGUACAAAUUAUAUUUGAUGAGUAAGAGUCCAAAAUUUGAAAUAAAUGAGAGAAAUGUAAAGGAGGAAAAAUGUUAGAAAUAAAGGUUGAUAUUGGAAAAGAAAUAGAAAAGAGAUUGAGGGUUUGAGUGAAAAAUAAGGAGGUCGGGGACUAAUUGUGAAAUUAUGGAAACAAAGAUGUGUGGCCCCAAGGGUUACCAAUUUACCAAACAUGUACCACGCCACUUUGUCUAAUUCCAAUUUCACCCCAUCAUUCUCAAACAAAUUAAAUGAAUGUGUCCAUUUAAGGCUACAUUCAAAAUCAUCUCUAUCAUUGUACUCAUAUAUUCAUCAUACAUAAAUUCUAUUGUUAACGUUAUUACAACUAUACUAUUACUGUAAUCUCCAUUUUAAUAUUUGGAAUGAUA
This 3085-nucleotide long non-coding RNA is filed under the name Cucumis sativus (cucumber). Its description in RNAcentral is "long non-coding RNA (CSAT_LNC000196)". Lineage: Eukaryota; Viridiplantae; Streptophyta; Magnoliopsida; Cucurbitales; Cucurbitaceae. The record is from RNAcentral.